GUCUGGUGCCAGCAGCCGCGGUAAUUCCAGCUCCAAUAGCGUAUAUUAAAGUUGUUGUGGUUAAAAAGCUCGUAGUUGGAUCUCGGCGGACAGAAGUCGGUCCGAAUGCUUUUGGCACUGGCUUGUUUGUCCGUGUGUUUUGCCAGAGGCAAGCGGGUGCUCUUCGCCGAGUGUCCGUUUGUGCUGGCAGGUUUACUUUGAAAAAAUUAGAGUGCUCAAAGCAAGCUCUCACGCUUGAAUAUUCGUGCAUGGAAUAAUAGAAUAGGAUGUCGUUUCUAUUUUGUUGGUUUUCGGAAAUCGACAUAAUGAUUAAUAGGGACAGUCGGGGGCAUUCGUACUGCGGCGACAGAGA
This 352-nucleotide ribosomal RNA is filed under the name Diaptomidae gen. sp. JV-2011. Its description in RNAcentral is "bacterial SSU rRNA". It matches the Rfam family "Eukaryotic small subunit ribosomal RNA", at positions 559 to 911 of the family's 1831-position model. The record is from RNAcentral. Lineage: Eukaryota; Metazoa; Arthropoda; Copepoda; Calanoida; Diaptomidae.